GAUGAACGCUAGCGAUAGGCUUAACACAUGCAAGUCGAGGGGCAGCAUGGUCUUAGCUUGCUAAGACUGAUGGCGACCGGCGCACGGGUGCGUAACGCGUAUGCAACUUGCCUCACAGAGGGGUAUAACCCGCCGAAAGACGGACUAAUACCGCGUACACUUUGGAUAGGGCGUCCUGACCCAAUGAAAUGAAUUUCGCUGUGCGAUAGGCAUGCGGGCCAUUAGCUAGUUGGUGAGGUUACGGCUCACCAAGGCGAGGAUGGGUAGGGGAACUGAGAGGAUGAGGCCUCACACUGGUACUGGCACAAGGACGAGAGACAUACGGGAGGCAGCAGUGAGGGAGAUUGGAGAAGGGGCGAUAGCAUGAACCGGCCAAGCCGCGUGAAGGAUGACUGUGUUAGGGAUUGUAAACUUCUGGUAGACGGCAACAACAGGAGCUGCGGGUGGGUGCGUGAAGGUACUGGAUGAAGAAGCACCGGCUAACUACGUG
This 490-nucleotide ribosomal RNA is filed under the name uncultured bacterium. RNAcentral describes it as "partial 16S ribosomal RNA". It matches the Rfam family "Bacterial small subunit ribosomal RNA", at positions 28 to 507 of the family's 1533-position model. The record is from RNAcentral.